This 123-nucleotide ribosomal RNA is filed under the name Dothideomycetes sp. RNAcentral's name for it is "partial large subunit ribosomal RNA". Lineage: Eukaryota; Fungi; Ascomycota; Dothideomycetes. The record is from RNAcentral.
AGUUGUAAUUUGUAGAGGGUGCUUUGGCGUUGGCUGUGGUCUAAGUUCCUUGGAACAGGACGUCGCAGAGGGUGAGAAUCCCGUUUGUGGCCGCCAGUCUUCGCCGUGUAAAGCCCCUUCGAC